This 1394-nucleotide ribosomal RNA is filed under the name uncultured bacterium. RNAcentral's name for it is "bacterial SSU rRNA". It matches the Rfam family "Bacterial small subunit ribosomal RNA". The record is from RNAcentral.
AGAGUUUGAUCCUGGCUCAGGAUGAACGCUGGCGGCGUGCUUAACACAUGCAAGUCGAGCGAAGCACUUAAGUUUGAUUCUUCGGAUGAAGACUUUUGUGACUGAGCGGCGGACGGGUGAGUAACGCGUGGGUAACCUGCCUCAUACAGGGGGAUAACAGUUAGAAAUGACUGCUAAUACCGCAUAAGACCACGGUACCGCAUGGUACAGUGGUAAAAACUCCGGUGGUAUGAGAUGGACCCGCGUCUGAUUAGGUAGUUGGUGGGGUAACGGCCUACCAAGGCGACGAUCAGUAGCCGACCUGAGAGGGUGAUCGGCCACAUUGGAACUGAGACACGGUCCAAACUCCUACGGGAGGCAGCAGUGGGGAAUAUUGCACAAUGGGCGAAAGCCUGAUGCAGCCAACGCCGCGUGAGCGAUGAAGGCCUUCGGGUCGUAAAGCUCUGUCCUCAAGGAAGAUAAUGACCGUACUUGAGGAGGAAGCCCCGGCUAACUACUUGCCAUCAGCCGCGGUAAUACGUAGGGGGCUAGGUUUUUCGGGAUUUUCUGGGCGGUAAGGGGUGCGUGGGUGGUUUUUUAAGGUCAGGGGUGAAAGGCUUCGGGCUCAACCGUAAUAAGCUCUUGAAACUGGGAACUUGAGGGCAGGAGAGGUAAGGGGAAUUCCUAGUGUAGGGGUGAAAUGCGUAGAUAUUAGUAGGAACCCCAGUGGGGAAGGCGGCUUACUGGACGGUAACUGACGCUGAGGCUCGAAAGCGUGGGGAGCAAAACAGGAUUAGAUACCCUGGUAGUCCACGCCGUAAAACGAUGAAUACUAGGUGUCGGGGCACAAAAGUGCUUCGGUGCCGCAGCAAACGCAUUAAGUAUUCCACCUGGGGAGUACGUUCGCAAGAAUGAAACUCAAAGGAAUUGACGGGGACCCGCACAAGCGGUGGAGCAUGUGGUUUAAUUCGAAGCAACGCGAAGAACCUUACCAGGCCUUGACAUCCUGCUGACCGUUCCUUAACCGGAACCUCUCUUCGGAGCAGCAGAGACAGGUGGUGCAUGGUUGUCGUCAGCUCGUGUCGUGAGAUGUUGGGUUAAGUCCCGCAACGAGCGCAACCCUUGUGAUAUGUUACUAACAUUGAGUUGAGGACUCAUAUCAGACUGCCGGUGAUAAACCGGAGGAAGGUGGGGAUGACGUCAAAUCAUCAUGCCCCUUAUGGCCUGGGCUACACACGUACUACAAUGGCGUCUACAAAGAGUGGCAAGCCUGUGAAGGCAAGCGAAUCUCAUAAAGGACGUCUCAGUUCGGAUUGAAGUCUGCAACCCGACUUCAUGAAGCUGGAAUCGCUAGUAAUCGCGAAUCAGCAUGUCGCGGUGAAUACGUUCUCGGGCCUUGCACACACCGCCCGUCA